Molecule: ribosomal RNA, 696 nt
Filed under: uncultured bacterium
Lineage: Bacteria
Description: bacterial SSU rRNA
Rfam family: Bacterial small subunit ribosomal RNA
Source: RNAcentral
AACGCUAGCUACAGGCUUAACACAUGCAAGUCGAGGGGAAACGACAUCGAAAGCUUGCUUUUGAUGGGCGUCGACCGGCGCACGGGUGAGUAACGCGUAUCCAACCUGCCCACCACUUGGGGAUAACCUUGCGAAAGUAAGACUAAUACCCAAUGAUAUCUCUAGAAGACAUCUGAAAGAGAUUAAAGAUUUAUCGGUGAUGGAUGGGGAUGCGUCUGAUUAGCUUGUUGGCGGGGUAACGGCCCACCAAGGCGACGAUCAGUAGGGGUUCUGAGAGGAAGGUCCCCCACAUUGGAACUGAGACACGGUCCAAACUCCUACGGGAGGCAGCAGUGAGGAAUAUUGGUCAAUGGACGAGAGUCUGAACCAGCCAAGUAGCGUGCAGGAUGACGGCCCUAUGGGUUGUAAACUGCUUUUAUAAGGGAAUAAAGUGAGAGUCGUGACUCUUUUUGCAUGUACCUUAUGAAUAAGGACCGGCUAAUUCCGUGCCAGCAGCCGCGGUAAUACGGAAGGUCCGGGCGUUAUCCGGAUUUAUUGGGUUUAAAGGGAGCGUAGGCCGGAGAUUAAGCGUGUUGUGAAAUGUAGACGCUCAACGUCUGCACUGCAGCGCGAACUGGUUUCCUUGAGUACGCACAAAGUGGGCGGAAUUCGUGGUGUAGCGGUGAAAUGCUUAGAUAUCACGAAGAACUCCGAUUG